This 414-nucleotide ribosomal RNA is filed under the name Triticum aestivum (bread wheat). Its description in RNAcentral is "partial small subunit ribosomal RNA". The record is from RNAcentral. Lineage: Eukaryota; Viridiplantae; Streptophyta; Magnoliopsida; Poales; Poaceae.
AUGGUACAGAAGAAGAACUUCCAUCCCAAAAAGUUCAAAAACAACAAGAACAAAACUCAGGGCAAAGGUAAGUUUGAUACAAAGAACAAGCCAUCACAUUCUACCAACUUCAAGAAGAAUUCUCAUAAGAAGGGGAAGGGACUUUGCCAUGUUUGCGGUGAUCCUAAUCACUGGGCUCCGAAGUGUCCUAACCGUUUUGAGGAGCGCGAACAUGACAAGAGCGGCAAGUCCGCUAAUGUUGUUAUCGGUGAUACUGAUAUGAAGGAAUCAGGAUACGGCCACUGGGACUUCUCCCAUGCUGAUGGGGAACGGGUCACAUGCCAUCGUUCGAGGUGUUGGUACGGUCGAUCUGAAGUUUACUUCGGGGAAGACCGUGCGUCUGAAGAACGUUCAUCAUGUGCCGUCCAUCAAUAA